CAAGAGGUAGUUUAAUUAGAAUGUCAGUUUUGGGUGCUGAUGGUGAGGCACUUCAAGUCUUUCUCUUGA
RNAcentral lists this transfer RNA (69 nucleotides) under Nyctalus plancyi. RNAcentral's name for it is "tRNA-Pro". It matches the Rfam family "tRNA". Rfam says of the family: Transfer RNA (tRNA) molecules are approximately 80 nucleotides in length. Their secondary structure includes four short double-helical elements and three loops (D, anti-codon, and T loops). Lineage: Eukaryota; Metazoa; Chordata; Mammalia; Chiroptera; Vespertilionidae. The record is from RNAcentral.